ACUAUAGCACGAAUGUGCACUUUUAUAUUUUAAGGUUUGCGGUGUACUCGAUCCGUUUACUCCAACUGUUUCUUCACAAAUGUCACUUCUUUGGCCAUCCUUAGCAUUCUCCAGUUCAGGAGUGCGGCGUACUUCACACCAGCUAAAAAAUACACAGGGCAAGGGGAAUCACCACACGCUCCACCCAGUUCUUCUAAGAAACAUAGUCGAACCACCAUAUCCCAGAGAUUUUAUAAACAUAAGACGCCGCUACCGUGAUGAAACGAAUUCCGACGCCAAUGUUCGCUGUAUCUUACUUCAUAGUAUUCGGUUUUGUGUCCGUGCUUUGUCAUUGCCGCGUGGCCAAUAACGAUCGCCCCAUCAAAGCCCGAGCGGACCCAAACGUCGAUACUCCGCGAAUAUUGAAGAUCUACUACUAUGUACAUUGUAUUACGAGUCGUCUCCGAAUUAUUUUGAUGCGGAAGGAGUGGAAUGAACGGACGUUUCCUCUUGCCCCUCAACACUUUUAUCUUGUCGAUAGUUAGCCAAUACAUACUGAUGCAUUGUGAUGAGAUCAAAAGAAGUCACUCGAUCAGUGCAGGGGCAAGAGGGGUCUUAAGGGAGGACUGCCAGUCCCCACAUCUGCUGUUCCGAGAAGUCGGCCAUUUAGGUGGUUCUGACGUCAUACAAUACACGUAGUAUUAUCCCCGAUUUCAUGAGGGACCUAUGAAAUAUUAUGAUAGAAACUAUGACGCAAAAGUAUACUCUACUAUGCAGUUUUAACGCGCAAGGUAAUUUUUGUUUCAACUCUUGCAACUGUUCCUCCAGGAAAUGCCUCUGCGUUUACCAACUUCUCUCAAUCGGCCGAGCCCGUAAUCCUUGGGAUAAACUAUAUCGACGCCAUUCUUGAAGUGUUGAUAGCCUCAACCGAAAAUCCUUGACUCGAAGGGAACGGUUUGUUGAAAUUUGAAAUAAAAUGAUUUCAUUCAAGGCUCAUCUCGUGAACAACGCGGAGGACGUUGAUCCUUUUCAUACUUAUACCGAGUAAGUCGCAAUAUUGGCACAAUAUUGGUUUCUAAUUAUUCUAUCCACUGUAAUAAUAUCAUAUUAAUUUUAUAAAUAUCUUGUGUUUGUUGUUGAAUAUAUAAUUA
Molecule: non-coding RNA, 1130 nt
Organism: Nomia melanderi (Alkali bee)
Lineage: Eukaryota; Metazoa; Arthropoda; Insecta; Hymenoptera; Halictidae
Source: RefSeq, a predicted model, not a curated record